RNAcentral lists this transfer RNA (81 nucleotides) under Merluccius polli (Benguela hake). RNAcentral describes it as "tRNA-Leu". The record is from RNAcentral. Lineage: Eukaryota; Metazoa; Chordata; Actinopteri; Gadiformes; Merlucciidae.
CGUGGACGAGCGGUCUAAGGCGCUGGAUUAAGGCUCCAGUCUCCUCGGAGGCGUGGGUUCGAAUCCCCAUCUCCAAUACGA